CUACGGGGGACUCCAGUGGGGAAUCUUGCGCAAUGGGCGAAAGCCUGACGCAGCAACGCCGCGUGCGGGAUGAAGGCCUUCGGGCUGUAAACCGCUUUCAGCAGGAACGAAAAUGACGGUACCUGCAGAAGAAGGAGCGGCCAACUACGUGCCAGCAGCCGCGGUGACACGUAGGCUCCAAGCGUUGUCCGGAUUUAUUGGGCGUAAAGAGCUCGUAGGCGGUUGAGUAAGUCGGGUGUGAAAACUCUGGGCUUAACCCGGAGACGCCAUCCGAUACUGCUCUGACUAGAGUUCAGGAGGGGAGUGGGGAAUUCCUAGUGUAGCGGUGAAAUGCGCAGAUAUUAGGAGGAACACCGGUGGCGAAGGCGCCACUCUGGACUGAAACUGACGCUGAGGAGCGAAAGCAUGGGUAGCAAACAGGAUUAGAUACCCUUGUAGUC
RNAcentral lists this ribosomal RNA (440 nucleotides) under uncultured bacterium. Its description in RNAcentral is "partial 16S ribosomal RNA". It matches the Rfam family "Bacterial small subunit ribosomal RNA", at positions 339 to 795 of the family's 1533-position model. The record is from RNAcentral.